RNAcentral lists this long non-coding RNA (237 nucleotides) under Capsicum annuum. Its description in RNAcentral is "long non-coding RNA (CANN_LNC012553)". Lineage: Eukaryota; Viridiplantae; Streptophyta; Magnoliopsida; Solanales; Solanaceae. The record is from RNAcentral.
GGAGAACCGAUGGACCGUCACUUCACCCGUCAACCAGAUGCUGAAAGUCAAGUUCACUGGAAUGAGUUGAUGGACAAGUCAACAGACCAUCAAAUCAAUGAUGGACCGUCAACCAAACCAUCACAGUAAAGCAGAAUUACAUUUCUCUGGUAAGCCGCGACGCCCAACCUGGUGAACUGUCGCAAACCUGACGAACCAUCAUGUCAAUCGUUAAUUUAACCCUAGUUCUUGGUCGGG